UAGAAUAUAAGUUUAAAAUAUUUUUAAUCAAAAUCAUACAUGUAUAAAAAUAUAAAAUCAUAAAGAUCUAGUUCAUGUGCUGAAAUUGAUAUAUGCUGAAAUUCAGAUUGUGAUCAAUUCAUAUACCUAUUUUGCAAUCUCUUUCUUUGAAUCUGGAUUUGAAAGUGAAGAGAUUUUUUUUUAUCUAUAUAAGUAUCCAGCCUUUACAGGUAUCCACUCG
This 220-nucleotide long non-coding RNA is filed under the name Elaeis guineensis (African oil palm). RNAcentral's name for it is "long non-coding RNA (EGUI_LNC047674)". The record is from RNAcentral. Lineage: Eukaryota; Viridiplantae; Streptophyta; Magnoliopsida; Arecales; Arecaceae.